GGGCGGCAGCCGCGGCAGGGAACCCAAGUCCUGGAUACGGUAGAAACUAUGGCAGCGCUGAAGUGAGAUAUGGAGGAAGUUCAUAUCCUGAUCCUAAUGGCCUGCAGCAGGUUCGGAUUGGUGGUGUGAUUCUGCUCCUACAUUUUCAUCUGGAGCAAUGUCUAAUGGCCACCAUGACACUGCACAUAGAUGAGUUUCUUUCACCAUAACAGCCAAAAUCAUGAUAUUGUUUCACUGUGGGAACGUUACAAAUUCUAUAGGAAAUUUUUUGCUUUCACGGCUACAGAUGUUGUGCCUUCCAAAAAUUUGCCUUGUUUUAUAGCUUUUUUAGCCGGAUCCCUUCUUGGUAUUUUUUUCUAUCUGGGGAAUGCUUCGUCAUGCCAUGAAUGAUAGGUUAAUAGGGUCGCUUUACCUGGCCACUGGAAACUGUUUUAAUUUUCUUUUUUUAAUCAG
Populus euphratica (Euphrates poplar) is the source of this 453-nucleotide long non-coding RNA. RefSeq lists it as uncharacterized. NCBI's taxonomy places the organism in Eukaryota, Viridiplantae, Streptophyta, Magnoliopsida, Malpighiales, Salicaceae. The transcript has 3 exons. The record is from RefSeq and is a predicted model, not a curated record.